GGCCGGAUGGUGUAGUUGGUUAUCACGUAUCCUUAACAGGCUUCAGCCGGCUAUACGGAUAAGGUCCUGAGUUCAAUCCUCAGUCUGGUCA
Molecule: non-coding RNA, 91 nt
Organism: Coniosporium uncinatum
Lineage: Eukaryota; Fungi; Ascomycota; Dothideomycetes
Source: the annotation of a GenBank genome assembly